Long non-coding RNA from Capsicum annuum, 867 nucleotides. RefSeq lists it as uncharacterized. Lineage: Eukaryota; Viridiplantae; Streptophyta; Magnoliopsida; Solanales; Solanaceae. The record is from RefSeq and is a predicted model, not a curated record. The transcript has 5 exons.
AUUAAACAAAGAGCGUUGGAUUACUCUUUGUGAAACUAAUUAAAAAAAACGUGUUGGAGCUAAUAGAGUAUUGUUAACCAAUAAAAUUUGAAGAACCGCGCAAACGGCAUGUUAACCAACAUGGCUGUUUGCAGUCAAAUUAAAUUUGCCUGAGGGUAAUUUCGCCAUUUUCAGUGUUGGGGUGACGAGCUUCCGCCUCUGCUUGCUUUCUGCCGGUUUGACUGCGCUAGCUCUUUACUUGUGGUGUUGUGCGGUGUUUUGCGUACCAGCAUCACAUUACAAGGGUACAUGAUGAAACCUGUUGAUACUAAAUGGAGUACUGAAACUUAAAGGCAUCAAAUAUAGAACCAGAAACCAGCCCCUCUAAUACUAAAAUAAAGCUUGGAAGUGGGAAGCUGUGACAAAGUUCAGGUCUUGCUAUCUUAGUAGGUUUCAUCUGAGACCAAGUGUGACGCCCCGCGUCACUACCCAUUAAAUUCCUCAUGUUUUGAGCAUGAUUCCAAGCAUUUCGGGUGUAUUUUCGAGCUCAAUGAGGCUUCCGCAAUGUCAAUUGACAAUGCCAACGUGGAGGCAUCUUUGGGAGGUCAAAUUACAAGCAUGGGUCAACAUUUACCUUGUCUUUGAACCUUGAUCAGCAGCUGAACAGAAAAAUAGGUUGCCAGACAAAGGCCUUUCACUAGUUGCUUGGAUUGCAUGGAAGUUUGACUAGCUUGUUGUGGAUCAUUUGUGUAGUCAUUUUCUAGCAUUUAUUGUGCCCUUUGACUUAGGGACUAGAAAUAUAUCUUGUAAAGCCCUCUUGGGCAGCAUCCAUAUACUGGUAUUACUCAAGAAAUAUAUCAGAAAAUUGGCUCUUCGGGCCUCCCAAAA